AUUACUCCUACGGGAGGCAGCAGUGGGGAAUCUUGCGCAAUGGGCGAAAGCCUGACGCAGCGACGCCGCGUGGGUGACGAAGGCCUUCGGGUUGUAAAGCCCUGUGGAGAGGAACGAACCGUUUGGUGGAUAACACCCAUCAAGCCUGACGGUACCUUUUUAGCAAGCAUCGGCUAACUCUGUGCCAGCAGCCGCGGUAAUAAU
RNAcentral lists this ribosomal RNA (204 nucleotides) under uncultured bacterium. RNAcentral describes it as "partial 16S ribosomal RNA". It matches the Rfam family "Bacterial small subunit ribosomal RNA", at positions 332 to 527 of the family's 1533-position model. The record is from RNAcentral.